AAGUAGGUAGCUUAACCUUCGGGGGGGCGCUUACCACUUUGUGAUUCAUGACUGGGGUGAAGUCGUAACAAGGUAACCGUAGGGGAACCUGCGGUUGGAUCACCUCCUUA
This 110-nucleotide ribosomal RNA is filed under the name Brenneria sp. L3-3C-1. RNAcentral's name for it is "partial 16S ribosomal RNA". It matches the Rfam family "Bacterial small subunit ribosomal RNA", at positions 1424 to 1533 of the family's 1533-position model. RNAcentral also lists the same sequence under 1 other name. The record is from RNAcentral. Lineage: Bacteria; Pseudomonadati; Pseudomonadota; Gammaproteobacteria; Enterobacterales; Pectobacteriaceae.